RNAcentral lists this transfer RNA (75 nucleotides) under Gammaproteobacteria bacterium. RNAcentral describes it as "tRNA-Val". It matches the Rfam family "tRNA". From Rfam's summary of the family: Transfer RNA (tRNA) molecules are approximately 80 nucleotides in length. Lineage: Bacteria; Pseudomonadati; Pseudomonadota; Gammaproteobacteria. The record is from RNAcentral. RNAcentral also lists the same sequence under 2 other names.
GGGCGCGUAGCUCAGCGGUAGAGCACUGUGUUGACAUCGCAGGGGUCACUAGUUCGAUCCUAGUCGUGCCCACCA